Molecule: ribosomal RNA, 98 nt
Filed under: Kocuria rhizophila
Lineage: Bacteria; Bacillati; Actinomycetota; Actinomycetes; Micrococcales; Micrococcaceae
Source: RNAcentral
GGGAAACGCCCGGUCCCAUCUCGAACCCGGAAGCUAAGACCCACAGCGCUGAUGGUACUGCACUCGGGAGGGUGUGGGAGAGUAAGUCACCGCCGAAA